UGGAAAUCAAAAUCCAGGACUGCUAGCAUUU
This 31-nucleotide non-coding RNA is filed under the name Mus musculus (house mouse). Lineage: Eukaryota; Metazoa; Chordata; Mammalia; Rodentia; Muridae. The record is from RNAcentral.